RNAcentral lists this transfer RNA (72 nucleotides) under Citrobacter koseri. RNAcentral describes it as "tRNA-Val". It matches the Rfam family "tRNA". Rfam says of the family: Transfer RNA (tRNA) molecules are approximately 80 nucleotides in length. Their secondary structure includes four short double-helical elements and three loops (D, anti-codon, and T loops). Further hydrogen bonds mediate the characteristic L-shaped molecular structure. tRNAs have two regions of fundamental functional importance: the anti-codon, which is responsible for specific mRNA codon recognition, and the 3' end, to which the tRNAs corresponding amino acid is attached (by aminoacyl-tRNA synthetases). tRNAs cope with the degeneracy of the genetic code in two manners: having more than one tRNA (with a specific anti-codon) for a particular amino acid; and 'wobble' base-pairing, i.e. permitting non-standard base-pairing at the 3rd anti-codon position. The record is from RNAcentral. RNAcentral also lists the same sequence under 284 other names. Lineage: Bacteria; Pseudomonadati; Pseudomonadota; Gammaproteobacteria; Enterobacterales; Enterobacteriaceae.
GGGUGAUUAGCUCAGCUGGGAGAGCACCUCCCUUACAAGGAGGGGGUCGGCGGUUCGAUCCCGUCAUCACCC